CCGAGUGAGGGCCCUCUGGGUCCAACCUCCCACCCGUGUCUCUUGUACCUCGUUGCUUCGGCGGGCCCGCCUCACGGCCGCCGGGGGGCAUCUGCCCCCGGGCCCGCGCCCGCCGAAGACACCCACGAACUCUGUCUGAAGAUUGCAGUCUGAGUGAAAUGAUAAAUUAAUCA
Molecule: unclassified non-coding RNA, 173 nt
Filed under: uncultured Penicillium
Lineage: Eukaryota; Fungi; Ascomycota; Eurotiomycetes; Eurotiales; Aspergillaceae
Description: sequence contains ITS1
Source: RNAcentral